AGUGAACGCUGGCGGUAGGCCUAACACAUGCAAGUCGAACGGCAGCACAGUAAGAGCUUGCUCUUACGGGUGGCGAGUGGCGGACGGGUGAGGAAUACAUCGGAAUUUACUUUUUCGUGGGGGAUAACGUAGGGAAACUUACGCUAAUACCGCAUACGACCUACGGGUGAAAGCAGGGGAUCUUCGGACCUUGCGCGAUUGAAUGAGCCGAUGUCGGAUUAGCUAGUUGGCGGGGUAAAGGCCAACCAAGGCGACGAUCCUUAGCUGGUCUGAGAGGAUGAUCAGCCACACUGGAACUGAGGCUCGGCCCAGACUCCGACGGGAGGCAGCAGUGGAGAAUAUUAGACAAUGGGGGCAAGCCUGAUCCAGCCAUACCGCGUGGGUGAAGAAGGCCUUCGGGUGGGAAAGCCCUGUUGUUGGUAAAGAAAAGCAGCAGGUUAAUACCCCGCGGUUCUGACGGUACCCAAAGAAUAAGCACCGGCUAACUUCGUG
RNAcentral lists this ribosomal RNA (492 nucleotides) under uncultured bacterium. RNAcentral describes it as "partial 16S ribosomal RNA". It matches the Rfam family "Bacterial small subunit ribosomal RNA", at positions 29 to 507 of the family's 1533-position model. The record is from RNAcentral.